UAGGGAAUCUUCGGCAAUGGACGGAAGUCUGACCGAGCAACGCCGCGUGAGUGAAGAAGGUUUUCGGAUCGUAAAGCUCUGUUGUUAGAGAAGAACGUUGGUAGGAGUGGAAAAUCUACCAAGUGACGGUAACUAACCAGAAAGGGACGGCUAACUACGUGCCAGCAGCCGCGGUAAUACGUAGGUCCCGAGCGUUGUCCGGAUUUAUUGGGCGUAAAGCGAGCGCAGGCGGUUCUUUAAGUCUGAAGUUAAAGGCAGUGGCUUAACCAUUGUACGCUUUGGAAACUGGAGGACUUGAGUGCAGAAGGGGAGAGUGGAAUUCCAUGUGUAGCGGUGAAAUGCGUAGAUAUAUGGAGGAACACCGGUGGCGAAAGCGGCUCUCUGGUCUGUAACUGACGCCGAGGCUCGAAAGCGUGGGGAGCAAACAGGAUUAGAUACCCUGGUAGUCCACGCCGUAAACGAUGAGUGCUAGGUGUUAGGCCCUUUCCGGGGCUUAGUGCCGCAGCUAACGCAUUAAGCACUCCGCCUGGGGAGUACGACCGCAAGGUUG
This 550-nucleotide ribosomal RNA is filed under the name uncultured bacterium. Its description in RNAcentral is "bacterial SSU rRNA". It matches the Rfam family "Bacterial small subunit ribosomal RNA", at positions 355 to 896 of the family's 1533-position model. The record is from RNAcentral.